RNAcentral lists this ribosomal RNA (255 nucleotides) under uncultured bacterium. RNAcentral's name for it is "partial 16S ribosomal RNA". It matches the Rfam family "Bacterial small subunit ribosomal RNA", at positions 524 to 776 of the family's 1533-position model. The record is from RNAcentral.
UACGUAGGGUGCAAGCGUUUAAUCGGAAUUACUGGGCGUAAAGCGUGCGCAGGCGGCUAUGCAAGACAGAUGUGAAAUCCCCCGGGCUCAACCUGGGAACUGCAUUUGUGACUGCAUAGCUAGAGUACGGUAGAGGGGGAUGGAAUUCCGCGUGUAGCAGUGAAAUGCGUAGAUAUGCGGAGGAACACCGAUGGCGAAGGCAAUCCCCUGGACCUGUACUGACGCUCAUGCACGAAAGCGUGGGGAGCAAACAGG